CAAUAGCGUAUAUUAAAGUUGUUGCGGUUAAAAAGCUCGUAGUUGGAUUUCUGUCGAAAACGGCCGGUCCGCUCUAUGAGCGUGCAUCUGGUUCGGUUUUGGCAUCCUUAUGAAGAACGUAACUGCGCUUGAUUGCGUGGUGCGGUAUUCAUAACUUUUACUUUGAGGAAAUUAGAGUGUUCACGGCAGGCAAGCGCCUUGAAUAUAUUAGCAUGGAAUAAUAAUAUAGGACAUGGGUUCUAUUUUGUUGGUUUCUAGAACUUAUGUAAUGAUUAAUAGGGAUAAUUGGGGGCAUUCGUAUUAACGCGUCAGAGGUGGAAUUCUUGGAUUGCGUUACGACGAACUACUGCGAAAGCAUUUGCCAAGGAUGUUUUCAUUGAUCAAGAACGAAAGUAUGGGGAUCGAAGAUGAUCAGAUACCGU
RNAcentral lists this ribosomal RNA (422 nucleotides) under uncultured eukaryote. Its description in RNAcentral is "SSU rRNA". It matches the Rfam family "Eukaryotic small subunit ribosomal RNA", at positions 592 to 1018 of the family's 1831-position model. The record is from RNAcentral.